RNAcentral lists this transfer RNA (88 nucleotides) under Halobacteriovoraceae bacterium. RNAcentral describes it as "tRNA-Leu". It matches the Rfam family "tRNA". From Rfam's summary of the family: Transfer RNA (tRNA) molecules are approximately 80 nucleotides in length. Their secondary structure includes four short double-helical elements and three loops (D, anti-codon, and T loops). Lineage: Bacteria; Pseudomonadati; Bdellovibrionota; Bacteriovoracia; Bacteriovoracales; Halobacteriovoraceae. The record is from RNAcentral.
GCCCGGGUGGUGGAAUUGGUAGACACAAGGGAUUUAAAAUCCCUCGGGCUUAUCGCCUGUGCGGGUUCAAGUCCCGCCCCGGGCACCA